UCACACAGCAGGUGUUCAGUUUGCCUCCUC
Molecule: non-coding RNA, 30 nt
Filed under: Rattus norvegicus (Norway rat)
Lineage: Eukaryota; Metazoa; Chordata; Mammalia; Rodentia; Muridae
Source: RNAcentral